This 701-nucleotide ribosomal RNA is filed under the name uncultured bacterium. Its description in RNAcentral is "bacterial SSU rRNA". It matches the Rfam family "Bacterial small subunit ribosomal RNA", at positions 593 to 1313 of the family's 1533-position model. The record is from RNAcentral.
UGUUAAUUCUUGAGGCUCAACCUCAAAUCUGCAGUAGAAACUAGGAGACUUGAGUAUAGUAGGGGUAGAGGGAAUUUCCAGUGGAGCGGUGAAAUGCGUAGAUAUUGGAAAGAACACCGAUGGCGAAGGCACUCUACUGGGCUAUUACUGACACUCAGAGACGAAAGCUAGGGGAGCAAAUGGGAUUAGAUACCCCAGUAGUCCUAGCCGUAAACGAUGGAUACUCGAUGUUGGACGUAUCGACCCGUUCAGUAUCUUAGCUAACGCGUUAAGUAUCCCGCCUGGGGAGUACGCUCGCAAGAGUGAAACUCAGAGGAAUUGACGGGGGCCCGCACAAGCGGUGGAGGAUGUGGUUUAAUUCGAUGCAGCGCGAAGAACCUUACCAGGGUUUGCUAGAAGUGUUGGUUUUCUGAAAAGAAUUCCUUAUUCCGCUUCUACAGGUGGUGCAUGGCUGUCGUCAGCUCGUGUCGUGAGAUGUUGGGUUAAGUCCCGCAACGAGCGCAACCCUUAUUUUUAGUUCUAUUGUCUAGAAAGACUGCCGGUGACAAACCGGAGGAAGGUGAGGACGACGUCAAGUCAUCAUGCCCCUUACAACCGUGGGCUACACACGUCCUACAAUGGGUAAGACAAUAAGUUGCAAAUUCGCGAGAAUAAGCUAAUCUUUGAAACUUACUCCAAGUACAGAUUGCAGGCUGCAACUC